Molecule: long non-coding RNA, 1229 nt
Organism: Haliotis rufescens (red abalone)
Lineage: Eukaryota; Metazoa; Mollusca; Gastropoda; Lepetellida; Haliotidae
Exons: 3
Source: RefSeq, a predicted model, not a curated record
AGAACGCUGACUAUGGGGCGGUGUAGUGAUUAUAUACUCGACGUGAACACCCGACUACGUCAAAUGACUCAUAAGAAGGUCCAGGGGCCUCCACCACUGCAAGAGAUUCUUCCUGGUUUACUGUUAAGCUAUAUCCCAUGUCAACCAGAUGCUGGUACUUGGCCCGGAAGGGUCUGGAAACACAGUGUAAAUACAGUUUAACACCGCAGUGGACCGCACCGAGUCUGGAACAGACAAUGCAGUGAUUGACAUCAUGAUACGAUGACAUGCAUCAACCAAGUCAGCGAGCCUGACCACCCGAUCCCGUUAGUGGCCUCUUACGACAAGCAUAGUCGCCUGUUACGGCAAGCAUGGGUUGCUGAAGACCUAUUCUAACCCGGAUCUGGAACCUAAUGAGGGCAAACAGGAACUCGAACCCGUGAUCAUAGGUUUCUCUCCCUUAGAUGAAUGGACCACCAGUUACUGAGUCUGCACUGAAAUAGGGGAGAUUGCCUCAGCGUUGAGGAAUGGGAUACUGGAGUAUUACUCACACCAAUCAAAGUGGCUAACUGCCGGAAGUUAGUUGAAGAUGGCACUUGCUCUAUUUGGGGAUAUAAUUUAACGUCGCAUCGGCAUUAUUUCAGCCAUAUAGCGACCUGUAUCUGAGAGUUUACUUCACGUAUACUUGGAAUGUAAAUUUGUAAAAAAUAAUAAUGAAUUUUGGUUGAAAAUUGAAAAAUUAACUUGCACUUUACCUGUAAAUAUAAUCUGACGAAAACGGAAAUAUUAUUUUGCCAUAUUCCUAGUAUACUCUUAAUUCAUAUCAUUCUUAUGGCCAAAACAUCAUGUACAUGUAGGCAGCAUCACAAACAGUAUCCCGACACUAGAUGCAGUCCUUGUGUGGACAGGGAUAUAAGCUUGAAAGGUUUAUAGCUGUUAAGAAUGAUCUAUUAACUAAAUCUGAGUGAAAAUGCAAACCACUGGACAAUAGUUUACUCUGUGAAGCUAAGAUUACAACACGAUAAUACAAUUAUAGGAUACAUCUGCAGUUGGCAUGUAUCACCCUUCGGGUUUGUUGAUAUUAGUGACGUAUUCGGCAUACACAAUACAAGUUCGUCUGUGGGUCCACAGCUGUUUGACAGCCUCCGUGGUCUAGUGGUAGAGCGUCCGCCCGGAGAGCGGAAGGUCCGGGGUUCGAUCCCCGGCCGUGUCAUACCAAAAGACGUUAAAAAAUGGUACUUGUUGUUACC